Molecule: ribosomal RNA, 197 nt
Filed under: uncultured bacterium
Lineage: Bacteria
Description: partial 16S ribosomal RNA
Rfam family: Bacterial small subunit ribosomal RNA
Source: RNAcentral
ACGCUCGACACCUACGGGGGCAGCAGUGGGGAAUAUUGCACAAUGGGGGAAACCCUGAUGCAGCGACGCCGCGUGAGCGAAGAAGUAUUUCGGUAUGUAAAGCUCUAUCAGCAGGGAAGAAACUGACGGUACCUGACUAAGAAGCACCGGCUAAAUACGNGCCAGCAGCCGCGGUAAUCUGAGCGGGCUGGCAAGGC